UAAGGAAUAUUGGUCAAUGGACGCAAGUCUGAACCAGCCAUGCCGCGUGAAGGAUGAAGGUCCUCUGGAUUGUAAACUUCUUUUAUCUGGGACGAAAACGGGAUUUUUAUCUCAAUUGACGGUACCAGAGGAAUAAGCACCGGCUAACUCCGUGCCAGCAGCCGCGGUAAUACGGAGGGUGCGAGCGUUAUCCGGAUUUACUGGGUUUAAAGGGUGCGUAGGUGGGCUUAUAAGUCAGUGGUGAAAUCUCCGAGCUUAACUUGGAAACUGCCGUUGAUACUAUAGAUCUUGAAUUAUCUGGAGGUAAGCGGAAUAUGUCAGGUAGCGGUGAAAUGCUUAGAUAUGACAUAGAACACCAAUUGCGAAGGCAGCUUACUACAUAUAAAUUGACGCUGAGGCACGAAAGCGUGGGGAUCA
Molecule: ribosomal RNA, 417 nt
Filed under: uncultured bacterium
Lineage: Bacteria
Description: bacterial SSU rRNA
Rfam family: Bacterial small subunit ribosomal RNA
Source: RNAcentral